RNAcentral lists this ribosomal RNA (478 nucleotides) under uncultured bacterium. Its description in RNAcentral is "partial 16S ribosomal RNA". It matches the Rfam family "Bacterial small subunit ribosomal RNA", at positions 28 to 523 of the family's 1533-position model. The record is from RNAcentral.
GACGAACGCUGGCGGCGUGCUUAACACAUGCAAGUCGAACGGUAAGGCCCUUCGGGGUACACGAGUGGCGAACGGGUGAGUAACACGUGGGUGAUCUGCCAUGCACUUCGGGAUAAGCCUGGGAAACUGGGUCUAAUACCGGAUAGGACCACUGCCUGCAUGGGUGGUGGUGGAAAGCUUUUGCGGUGUGGGAUGGGCCCGCGGCCUAUCAGCUUGUUGGUGGGGUGAUGGCCUACCAAGGCGACGACGGGUAGCCGGACUGAGAGGGUGAACGGCCACGCUGGGACUGAGAUACGGCCCAGACUCCUACGGGAGGCAGCAGUGGGGAAUAUUGCACAAUGGGCGCAAGCCUGAUGCAGCGACGCCGCGUGAGGGAUGACGGCCUUCGGGUUGUAAACCUCUUUCAGCACCGACGAAGCGCAAGUGACGGUAGGUGCAGAAGAAGGACCGGCCAACUACGUGCCAGCCGCCGCGGUAA